This 463-nucleotide ribosomal RNA is filed under the name uncultured bacterium. RNAcentral's name for it is "partial 16S ribosomal RNA". It matches the Rfam family "Bacterial small subunit ribosomal RNA", at positions 28 to 507 of the family's 1533-position model. The record is from RNAcentral.
GAUGAACGCUGACAGAAUGCUUAACACAUGCAAGUCGAUGGGGAAGUGGUGCUUGCUCCAUGGCAACCAUGGCGGACGGGUGAGUAACGCGUAAGGGACUUACCUGCAGGACUGGGAUAACAGGGGGAAACUCCUGACAAGACCGGAUAAUGUCAUGGAGCUGCCUGGCUUUAUGAUGAAAGGAGACGCCUGCGGAGAGCCUUGCGUCCUAUUAGCUAGUUGGUGAGGUAAUGGCUCACCAAGGCGAAGAUAGGUAGCCGGCCUGAGAGGGUGGACGGCCACAAGGGGACUGAGAUACGGCCCUUACUCCUACGGGAGGCAGCAGGGGAGAAUAGUGGACAGUGGGGGCAACCCUGAUCCAGCAAUUCUGUGUGCACGAAGAAGGUUUUCGGAGUGUAAAGUGCUUUCAGCAGGGAAGAAGUAAGUGACGGUACCUGCAGAAGAAGCGACGGCUAAAUACGUG